Non-coding RNA from Amborella trichopoda, 558 nucleotides. Lineage: Eukaryota; Viridiplantae; Streptophyta; Magnoliopsida; Amborellales; Amborellaceae. The record is from RefSeq and is a predicted model, not a curated record.
GGGGGGCGGGGGCGGGGAUGGGAACGGGGGUGGUGGUGUGCUGUGUUUCAGGACAAACUUCAAAGUUCAAAUACUAAGAUAUCUGCAUCAUGUCCACCACAAGACAACAGCAUAAGGAACCACCAAACCAGUUUGGUAAUUUGGAAUAUGCAUGCCACAAGCAAAAUGAUAACUUGGAAAGGUGGACAGCGAUGCAGUGAGUAGGAAUGUUCAAUUAGCUGGUGGACAGCGAUGCAGAGAGUAGGAUUCACCAGAACACGACAUGACUCAAGUGGAGCAUGAGGGUGAGAAAUAUGGACGCAGACUUUUAACACAAUCUGAUAUAUCAUCAUCAUCAGCCAAAUCUUAUCCUAAUUAUUUGGGGUCAGCUAAAUGAAGUUUUAAAACGCCUUUUUGCAUCGCUAUGCCUCUCUCGUGCUCGAUCCUAUGACACAUGGGAGCUAAACGAUAUGAGCUACAAAUUUGACAUAUUCGUAGAUGAUCUUAACCAUGUAUGUUAUGGGUGACCUUCAAUUACUUCAUUAUUUUCUCUGUGAUCUAGACCAUCCAAUUUGUUAG